UACAGAGGUCUCAAGCGUUGUUCGGAAUCACUGGGCGUAAAGGGUGCGUAGGCUGCAUGGUAAGUCAGAGGUGAAAUCCCGGAGCUCAACUUCGGAAUUGCCUCCGAUACUGCCGUGCUUGAGGACUGGAGAGGAGUCUGGAAUUCACAGUGGAGCAGUGAAAUGCGUAGAUAUUGUGAGGAACACUAGUGGCGAAGGCGAGACUCUGGACAGUUCCUGACGCUGAGGCACGAAGGCCAGGGGAGCAAACGGG
Molecule: ribosomal RNA, 253 nt
Filed under: uncultured bacterium
Lineage: Bacteria
Description: partial 16S ribosomal RNA
Rfam family: Bacterial small subunit ribosomal RNA
Source: RNAcentral